GACGAACCGUGCGAACGUUAUUCGGAAUCACUGGGCUUAAAGCGCGUGUAGGCGGGGUGGCACGUCGGUCGCUGAGAGCCCCCGGCUCAACCGGGGAAGGGGCGCCGAUACGACCACCCUGGAGGGACGUAGGGGGACCUGGAACUUCCGGUGGAGCGGUGAAAUGCGUUGAGAUCGGAAGGAACGCCCGUGGCGAAAGCGGUUCUCUGGGACGGUACUGACGCUGAGACGCGAAAGCGUGGGGAGCGAACAGG
RNAcentral lists this ribosomal RNA (254 nucleotides) under uncultured bacterium. RNAcentral describes it as "partial 16S ribosomal RNA". It matches the Rfam family "Bacterial small subunit ribosomal RNA", at positions 524 to 776 of the family's 1533-position model. The record is from RNAcentral.